This 254-nucleotide ribosomal RNA is filed under the name uncultured bacterium. RNAcentral's name for it is "partial 16S ribosomal RNA". It matches the Rfam family "Bacterial small subunit ribosomal RNA", at positions 524 to 776 of the family's 1533-position model. The record is from RNAcentral.
UACGUAGGGUGCGAGCGUUGUCCGGAAUUAUUGGGCGUAAAGAGCUCGUAGGCGGUGUGUCACGUCGGCCGUGAAAACCUGCAGCUUAACUGUGGGCGUGCGGUCGAUACGGGCAUCACUGGAGUUCGGCAGGGGAGACUGGAAUUCCUGGUGUAGCGGUGAAAUGCGCAGAUAUCAGGAGGAACACCGGUGGCGAAGGCGGCGACCUGGGUAGAUACUGACGCUGAGGUGCGAAAGCGUGGGGAGCAAACAGG